RNAcentral lists this ribosomal RNA (540 nucleotides) under Triticum aestivum (bread wheat). RNAcentral's name for it is "partial small subunit ribosomal RNA". Lineage: Eukaryota; Viridiplantae; Streptophyta; Magnoliopsida; Poales; Poaceae. The record is from RNAcentral.
AUGUCUUCCUCCACCCAAGUUCCAUCCAUAGGCCUGUCCAGUACCACAUCCGAGCCUCUCACAAGAACGAACUACAUCCUAUGGAAAUCCCAAGCUCGCUCCCAAAUCAUGGGCGCCGGACUAUAUGGGUACCUAGACCAAACCACACCCGAGCCACCCAAAACCAUCAUCACCAAAAACUCAGAAGGAAAGGAACAGAUUGUUCCAAACCCUGCAUAUAACCCAUGGCUGAUUCAAGAUCAGCAGAUUGUAGCCUUUUUCCUUCGAAAUCUCUCAAAGGAGGUACUCAUCCAGGUUGCUUCUUUAGAAACUUCCCACGCCAUAUGGUCAGCCCUAGCAAAGAUGUUCACCGCACAAUCUCUCUCCCGUGUAAACAACUGCCGCAUAGCCCUAUCCAAUGCCCAGAAAGGUUCACAGAGUGCCACAACCUAUUUUGGUCAGAUGAGGGCCCUCUCUGAUGAACUAGCUGCGGCUGGGAAACCCAUCGGAGAAGGAGAACUUCUUUCCUUUAUCAUUGUAGGGCUCGACAUGGACUAUUAG